AGUUCUGUGUGUUUUGUGACACAAAGUACAUGGAGGUACUGCAGCAUUUGAGCAUCAGAUGGCUCAGUUUGGACCUCGCUGUGAAUCGUAUACUCCGUCUCUACAAUGCUGUAAAGAGCUGCUUUAGAGCAUUUUGUGGAGCGACUCCACAGAUGAAAGGCAAGCCAGAUUUGUGAGACUCCAUGCCUGUUUUCAGGAUCCAACCACUGAAGUUCAUAAAGACCAUUCAACAAAAUAGGUUCAUAAAACAUGUCAGGAAAAUGUCUGUCCUAUUUUACUUCAAAAUAAAAGCAUAAAAUGUAUAUUUAUAUUUA
Long non-coding RNA from Pangasianodon hypophthalmus (striped catfish), 314 nucleotides. RefSeq lists it as uncharacterized. The transcript is spliced from 2 exons. The record is from RefSeq and is a predicted model, not a curated record. NCBI's taxonomy places the organism in Eukaryota, Metazoa, Chordata, Actinopteri, Siluriformes, Pangasiidae.